AUUGAACGCUGGCGGCAGGCCUAACACAUGCAAGUCGAGCGGAGCGGCGGACGGGUGAGGAAUGCCUAGGAAUCUGCCUGGUAGUGAGGGAUAACGUCCGGAAACGGGAGCUAAUACCGCAUACUAUCAGAUGAGGCUAGGUGGGAUUAGCUAGUUGGUGGGGUAAGGGCCUACCAAGGCGACGAUCCGUAACUGGUCUGAGAGGAUGAUCAGCCACACUGGAACUGAGACACGGUCCAGACUCCUACGGGAGGCAGCAGUGGGGAAUAUGGGACAAUGGGCGAAAGCCUGAUGCAGCCAUGCCGCGUGUGUGAAGAAGGUCUUCGGAUUGUAAAGCACUGUAAUUUGGGAGGCGUUACCAACAGAGUAAGCACCGGCUAACUUCGUGCCAGCAGCCGCGGUAAUAC
This 407-nucleotide ribosomal RNA is filed under the name uncultured bacterium. RNAcentral describes it as "partial 16S ribosomal RNA". It matches the Rfam family "Bacterial small subunit ribosomal RNA", at positions 30 to 526 of the family's 1533-position model. The record is from RNAcentral.